RNAcentral lists this ribosomal RNA (377 nucleotides) under uncultured bacterium. RNAcentral's name for it is "bacterial SSU rRNA". It matches the Rfam family "Bacterial small subunit ribosomal RNA", at positions 523 to 898 of the family's 1533-position model. The record is from RNAcentral.
ACACGGAGGAUGCAAGCGUUAUCCGGAAUGAUUGGGCGUAAAGGGUCCGCAGGUGGCCGUGUAAGUCUGCUGUUAAAGAAUCUAGCUCAACUAGAUAAAAGCAGUGGAAACUACACAGCUAGAGUGCGUUCGGGGUAGAGGGAAUUCCUGGUGUAGCGGUGAAAUGCGUAGAUAUCAGGAAGAAAACCAGUGGCGAAGGCGCUCUACUAGGCCGCAACUGACACUGAGGGACGAAAGCUAGGGGAGCGAAUGGGAUUAGAUACCCCAGUAGUCCUAGCCGUAAACGAUGGAUACUAGGCGUGGCUUGUAUCGACCCGAGCCGUGCCGGAGCUAACGCGUUAAGUAUCCCGCCUGGGGAGUACGCACGCAAGUGUGAA